RNAcentral lists this ribosomal RNA (618 nucleotides) under uncultured bacterium. RNAcentral's name for it is "bacterial SSU rRNA". The stretch from base 1 to 538 matches the Rfam family "Bacterial small subunit ribosomal RNA", at positions 338 to 873 of the family's 1533-position model. The record is from RNAcentral.
CCUACGGGGCAGCAGUGGGGAAUAUUGGACAAUGGGCGGAAGCCUGAUCCAGCCAUGCCGCGUGUGUGAAGAAGGCCUUUUGGUUGUAAAGCACUUUAAGCGAGGAGGAGGCUACUAGUACUAAUACUACUGGAUAGUGGACGUUACUCGCAGAAUAAGCACCGGCUAACUCUGUGCCAGCAGCCGCGGUAAUACAGAGGGUGCGAGCGUUAAUCGGAUUUACUGGGCGUAAAGCGUGCGUAGGCGGCUUUUUAAGUCGGAUGUGAAAUCCCCGAGCUUAACUUGGGAAUUGCAUUCGAUACUGGGAAGCUAGAGUAUGGGAGAGGAUGGUAGAAUUCCAGGUGUAGCGGUGAAAUGCGUAGAGAUCUGGAGGAAUACCGAUGGCGAAGGCAGCCAUCUGGCCUAAUACUGACGCUGAGGUACGAAAGCAUGGGGANCAAACAGGAUUAGAUACCCUGGUAGUCCAUGCCGUAAACGNUGUCUACUAGCCGUUGGGCCUUGAGUCUUAGUGCGNGAGNGACGACGAGAGUAGAACGUCCGUGGUUAGUUACGUCGCGAGACGUUAACGACGAAGAGUUAGAGGCGNGAGACGAGCGAGGACGACGACGAGGGAGGAGG